This 8410-nucleotide long non-coding RNA is filed under the name Sus scrofa (pig). Its description in RNAcentral is "lncRNA (ENSSSCG00000062936.1)". Lineage: Eukaryota; Metazoa; Chordata; Mammalia; Artiodactyla; Suidae. The record is from RNAcentral.
GCACGGUAAGAAAAGAUUUAUUUUAAAAAGACAGAAGGAGCACAAACCACAAAGUUAAAGAUGGAUACAUGCGACUACAAUUAAAUAAAAACUCUGUGCAGCAAAUAGCAUUUUAAAGACAUGGACAGGCAACUCCCAUAAGAGGAAAUCGGAUGAGCAUACACGUUAAAAGGUGCUCAACCAUCCAAGUCAUCUGAGAGAUGCCUCGACACCACAAGAGGCCAUUUCACAUCCAUCACGUUGGCAAAAAUGUAAAAGGGCUGACAGCAUCAAGUGUAGGCGAGGCAGUGGGACCAACAGGGCUCCCGUACACUGCUGGUUGUGUGUAAUUUAGUGCAAAUGGUUUAGGAAGCAAUUAGGCAAUACCCAGUGAAGUCAAAGAUGCAUAUAUUUUGUGACCCAACAAUUUCGCUCACGGAUCUAUAACCUAGAGAGCGACUUGAAGUAUUUUCUUGGUCAUGAGUCACCGUAUGAAAUCAUUGUCAUUUGUAACCCCAUGUAGAUUUAUAAUUGAAGCAAAAGUUUUCAGCAAGAAUUUGUCUCCUGCAUGCAAAGCCCUCAGAUAUUUUCAUUUUAUUCUACUUAAUUGUUUGAUGCUCAGCACGAUUAACUAAAUUGAUUUCAUGAUGCAUUAAGGCAGUGCUUCUCAAUCUUGACUACAUAUUACUAUCAUCUUCUUGGCUUUUAAAUCUUCAUUAACCAGGCCACUACCCAAACAAGCUAAAUUGGAAUAUUUGGAAAUACCAAAAUGUCCAUCAACAGGAAAUUGGAUAAAUGCACUACGCUUUUUUCCUACAGCGGAAGAAGACACAGCAGUAAAAUACAUGACCCAAAAGAACGCAAAUCAACAUGGGUGCGUCUCAAGAACAGAUCAUGAACAAAGCAAGUUUCGGAAAAGUAACUUACAGCGCAACACCAUUUUGUGAGGCUUCAAAACAUGUGCAACAAAAUGAUAUCUUUUUAUGGAUAGAUAUAGAUUGAGAAAAAAAUAGAGAAAGGCAUGGAAAUGAAAACCGCUACAUUCAGAAUAGCAAUUACCUCGGGGAGGAGGUGGGGAGAAUGAAAUCCAGGAGGGGGAGGCGUAGACAGGGAACUUCAGCCGCAUUAUGUAUUGUUUAAUUACUUAAGCUGAAUGGUGGGCAUAUACGCAUUGGUGGUAUUACUCCUUUUUUGCUUAUUUGUAUGUCUGAUACAUCUCAUGCUAAAAAAAUUCAUCCUAAAGACUGGUAUAUCAUCAUGUGGAAUAGAAAAUGACAAUUCUACAUGAAUAUUGAGCCCUUGGGGCUAGGGUUUUAUUGGUGACUUGACAGCCCAGGUCCUUUGACGCCAUUGUAGAGACAAAGUCCUCCUGGUUGGCGUUGUCUUGGAGUAGAGCUGAGACGAGAACACCGAGCCCUAGGAACAAGGUCAGUCUAGGACGACACCACCAUCAACAACCCCAAAUAUUUCCCUAGGUCAGCCGAACUCUGGGACAGGGGAUGAACUAAAGCUGAGAGCGAGCAGAUCUUUGUCCGGACCGUUCUUGGGUGGAAUUGCACUGCUGACGUCCACUGUCUAGCUGAAGUCACUCGCCAUCUCGCUGAGGGAAUGAACCGCAGAGGAGCUCAAGGAGUUGAUUUGGGAUCCAGGACCCCUUUGAGGAGGUGGCUCGGGCAGCCGUCAAGGGUCGUGGGCCCCCAAGGCCAGCAUGACGGUACUGAGUGCCCAGGGGACUUCAGAAGAGAAUGAAGAAAGGAACGUGGGAGGCACCAAAGUCAAGCCCUGUCUACUUCCUCUUUUAGGUUCGGGCUCAGUCCUGCCUCCCGCACUUUCCCCCAGGGAGCAAAUCUGAAUCCCAGGUGGGUAUCUUCUUGUCCAGGAAACAACACUAUAUCAUUGGAGAGAUGGGGAGGCUAGAGAGGGUGGCAGAGACUUAGAAGACAGACUUAACAAGGUUUGGCUACUGAUAUGGGGAUGAAAACGGAAAGCUGUUGAGGGUGGGAGUUGAAGAAGGGUUUUCGUGGCCAAUCAGUGGGUACCAUUACCUGGGAGGCGGGGGCUGAUGGGGAAACACAUCUGGGUUGGUGAUUCUCAUUUUCCACCUGCUCUGUGGGUUGGGUUUAAGGAUUUGGGAUGCAGCUGAGUGGAGGUGUUCAAGAUGCAGGUAGCUGGACAGGUCUGGAAUUUAGAGGCGAGGUCUCGGUUACAGUUCUUGGUGGGGGACAAGUCGGGGUGGGGAGCAAAAACCUUUGUGAAAAUGCCAGGAUCCCAGCAGAAAAUCGACGCAUUUGACUCCGUUUCCCAUACGACAUCACUGCCACCACAGCUGCAGCACAUUUUGCACAAAUUCAGGCAGUGGAACUUGCUGGGGAGAAAUUAAACCAGAAAGAAUGUGUGAGGAAGACAGUGUGCUUUGAUGAAAUGAAGUUUGUUCCCCGAACCACUUGCCACAGCUCUUCAUCUCAUUUGUCAAGACCAAUCUUUUUAGACAAAAAAAAAAAAUGUAUUUUGAUCAAGUCUUUAGACACUCGGUUGGAAAAGGCUCCUUAACGGAUGGGGCUGGAGAGAAUAAUCAGACAGCAAUUUCCUUGGUCCUAGUUGAAAAAUCGUGAUGAGCUGAGCAGAGGUGCUUUGACCGACAAUGUACAGAGCAUAACUUGAUGUCCAUCUGACUAAGUCUUUAGCGCUCUAAAUUCUUUAGAACAGCCCCUCCAUGUCAGCACGCAACUUCACGGCCCUUUUUGAAGUGACAAGAAUACAUUAAGAGGGGCUAUGUCAAUCUGAAAAGUGACCCUCUCCGAGGUAGGCUCUGGUGAUGAGUGACUGAGGUGAGGACACCUGAUGGGGCCCUUGUUCCAAGAAAGUGUCUCCUUCAGCUUCUAGAACUUGCCCAUUAGGAAGAGACAGGAAGGGCGACGCACCCUCGUUGGAGCCCAAGAACACAGCCUCCCCUGUCUGCUCGCUGGGGGACCCUGAGACGUGAGGCGAGGGGAGAAUUCUCAGGGGGACCGCAGCAGCUAUGAGCAGCCAUAUGCCACAUUGUCAGCAUCCAGCGAAGGGAAUCAGGGGAAAAUAUGCUUUACCUGCUAUAUCGUUUUUCUCGGGCUACUGUUCAAAAAAAUAAUACUAAUAACAGCCCAAACUAGAAAGUGUAAACAAUGGAAAUUUUUGGUCUCAAUCCCGGAGGCUGGAAGUCCAAGAUCAAGGUGCGGGGCGGGCAGGGUUGGUUGCUCGUUUCUGGCCUUCUCCUCCCCGUGGCUCCUCCUGUCUGGUUCUUCUCCUUUUGUGAGAUUAGGGCCCAGACUAACGACUUCAUUUUCACUUGUUUACAUCGAUAAAAACACGAACCCCAAAGAAGGUCACAUCCUGAGGUACUAGGGGUUGGGAUCUCAACAUGUCAUUCAACCCAUCACACCUGUCAGGCCCGCAAUCUGGACCCACGGUGCGGGGCCUACGGCUGGCCAGAGACUCUGAGGCUUGGACCCCUGGGCCGGGCCACGGGGUACCCCUGGAAACCAUACUGUGCCACAGGGCUCAGGUGAGGCCACAACUCAGUUUUCAGAAACUGCCAGAAGCCUUGGGCAGAGGCCCUGGGAAAGACAGCAAAAGGACUCAUCCCCAGGUCUGACACCUCCCCAAACGCCAGCUCCGAUGGCCUGACAGUGAGUGCAAGUGCAACGUGUUCUUCCACUUAUCCAAGUACAUUUCAAAUCCAUUUUCCGAACUGAAAGCACAGAAGGAGGAAAUAAAGAGAGGUGACUCAGCUCAUUACAAACUGUGAUUGAAAAUUACAGUAACUUGGACAUAUGCUAAGCCUUCUCUUUUAAUAAUAAAAUGAAGGAUCAAAUGUAUUGCUCAAUCUUCAUGCAGUUUUCUCUCUCUGAGGUCUACAGACCAUCUGUUACCCCUUUUCUUCUUCUUUUAAAAAAUUGUGGUAAAGUGCCCAUAACAUAACAUUUACCAUCCUCAAGUGUGAAGUUCAGUGGCGUUCAGUGCAUUCCCAUUGUUGGUCAGCCAUCAUCAGCACCAUCCUGCUCCAGAAUGGUUUUCAUCUUCCCACACUGAAAACCCCUACCAACUGAACACGUCCCCAUCUCCCCUUUUCCUACAUCCCUUGGUACCCAGCAUCCUAUUGUCUGUCUCUGACUAUGAAGACCCCCCCUUGUCUAACUCCAUGGACCAUACGACAGCAUCGUUUCCUAAGCGGAACUUUAUAGGAAAAGCAGCUGGGAGGCGGUGGACUAUGCGUCGUCCUCGCAGCCACUGGCCACGUCACCUGGAGCUCUUCCUACCUCCUCUGUGCAUUUCUCCUCUGUCGUGUCCAGCCCAGCACUCAGGACGCGUGGAUGCCCCCCCUUCUCAGGGUUCAAAUGAAAACAGAGCCAUUCAUUCAGCUGCCUUAUUCUGAAUGUUGCUGCUGUACCAGGUACGCAGGUAAACAGACUUUACCUACCUCGUCGCACAUCAUCCUCACCACAGCGGCCACCGUUAGCCACUGACAGACAGCGAAGGCUCAGAAAAGUCGGAAUACAUCAGCCAGGUUUACGACGAUGACGUGGCAGAGGCACUUUGAACUCAGGGGGGCUCUCGUUCCAAAGCCUGCACUCCCUUCGACUCACACUCAACUGCAGACCGAGUCAUGUCUUCUGGUUCAUCUCCUCCUACCAGACUGAGCAUCACUUCCGCAUUGUUUAACAGCCCCCCGGCACACAGUAGGUGCUUCCAGAGCGCUUCUAGACUGGGCUGCUUCCUCGGGUCUGCUGUGUUGCGCACAGCACCCACCAGUGAGAGUCAACGGCAGCCUGGGCUUCUCACUAACAUCCGCGGACUGAUGUGACCUGGUUCCGUCAGGUCUGUAUUUUCUUCAUUGGCUUUGAUGGCUUCCAAACGCAAGCAAAGCGUUUCAAAACGUAACAACUGAAACACUGACCUCUUUGCCAAGUAGAAAGUUAGUACACUGUAAUUAGAUGUCUACAAGCAAUUUCAGCCCAUUUCGUCUCGUGGAUCUAUAAUCGCUUUCCAGUUACUAUAAUGACUUUAUUUUCGGACCCAUUUUUGCAUACUUUUAAAUGGUUUCCACUUGGCUCAAUAGCUCUUGAUCCAUUAGAGCUUUUAAACUUGCCACGACAGCACAGCACAUGGGUACAGCCCUACGUUCUACCAGCACUGGAAAUAAUAUAUUGCUUUCAAAAUACCACCUUGGCAGAAAUCGACUGACAAGCCUAAAAUCACAAUCUCUCAUGAAGCACACUGUAGAUGAUGAGGGCACUUGCCCUCGAAAGUGAACACGUCAUUAAUUCCCCCCAAAACACUAUUGCUGCGAGCCUGAUCAACAGUGCUCAAGAGAAAGCAGGGUGGGGCUGUGGGUGGGACCCUCUGUUACAGUAACCGUGACAGAAGGUAACUUCUCGUAGCCCACCUCCCAAUCCACGAAAGCAGGGGGCAGUGGACAAGCCAACCCCAGAUGCUAUUAGAUUCUGACAUUGCUAUUUUUCAUUAUCAUUAGGUUCAAGAGUAUUACAAUCAAGACAAGGGGUCCUCUAGCUUUUAUGUUUACACUGUACAUUUGAUUAUUACCGUUUUGGGUGACACAUCCUAGGGGAUUAAAAGGCUCAAGACAAUAACCAAACAAGCAGAAAGAUCUUACAACACACCAAACCCCAGGGGAGCAACGCCUCUCUCUGUGGAUGCAAGAAUCCCCAGCCAUCCCUCUAGACACGUGGUGGCCCUCCAUUCCUGAGUCACCGUGAGGAGAAGUGUUGGCUGCCCCGUCCAGAGGCCAUCUACUUAGAAAGGAAAGUUCUCACAUGUACCAGAAACCACUCUGCUCUCCUUUGGCUCGUGUCUUACCUGUUCUUUAAAGCCAAUCACAUCCCUUCUCCCCCCACUGCUCAUUAAGUGCAAAAGGGGGGAGAGCAGAGGAGGGGGUGGAGGGAGGGUGACGAGAGGAAGAUUCCACGGGACUUUUGGAUUUACUCUAAGUCUGAGCUGUCAGCAGAACAGGGACAUGAUCUAGACUUUAUUUAUAUUUUUAAUUAAUUAAUUAAUUUUUGCUUCUUUGGGCCGCACCUGUGGUAUACGGAAGUUCCCAGGCUAGGGGUCGAAUCAGAGCUGCAGCCACCGGCCUACACCACAGCCACACCAGAUCUGAGCAGCGUCUGCGACCUACACCACAGCUCUUGGCAACACCAGAUCCUUAGCCCACUGAGCGAGGCCAGAGAUCGAACCUGCGUCCUCGGGUUCAUAAUCUGCUGAGCCACAACGGGAACUCCAACACGCGGCUAUAUGUAGAAGGAAAUAUGGACAGAAUUCGUUGAUGGAUUAGAUACAGGGCAUGAGAAAGGGAUGUCAGGUUAACUCCAAGGUCUGGGCCUGAGCGGCUGCUACUCCCGGAGAUGCGGAAGUUAGCAAGAGGGGCAGCAGACUUCACGGUCGGGUGCAGAAGUCUGGGGUUCAAAGGGGAGGCCUGGGCUGAAAAUGGCAAUUUGAGGGGAGUACUUGCAUGGCCCUUGAAAGCCAUGAUUCUGAGGAAGAUCAGAAAGGCAGGGAGUGCGGGCGAGGGGAGUGAGGCUGCAAGCGGAUGGCCUCUCGGAUGAGGGGGAGCUGUCCAAAGACAGGGAGGAGCAGCACUUCUCCUGGAAACCGGCGACUCUGGAGCCCUGGAAGCCGAGGGAGAAAACACAAGUUGUUUAUUUCAGAGAUCUGUCUGAUUCGCAGCGCCACGUCAGAGCAGAUGACUCAACCGCAGGAAACAUUCUUUCACAGGGAACGAAACUGAGUGGCACUGCUACGGAGCCAUGCAUUCUAAGGACAAGCGCUGUCCUGCCCCAAGUUGUUGCCACAAAGGACCUUUUAUACCAGCAAGCACUCACGGAGCACCGAGAAGGUGGCCCGGGGUUUUAGAGUCAGCCACACCUUGACCCGAACCUCAGUUACACUGGCCGUGUGAUCUUGGACAAGCUGCUUGACUUCUUCUCUGACCCUGCAUUUCUUCAUUUUAAAAGUGGGCCAGGACAGAGUUCCCACUGUGGUGCAACAGGAUCAGUGGUGUGGGAGCACUGGGAGGCAGGUUUGAUCCCCGGCCCGGUACAGUGGGUUAAGGAUCCAGCGUUCCAGCAGCUGCAGAAUAGGUGACAAUUGGGGUUCAGCCAAAAAAGAAAAAAGGAAUUAGGCCGGGAGUUCUCUGGUGACUCGGUAGGUUAAGGAUCUGGCAUUGUCACUGCUGUGGCUUGGGUCGCCGCUGUGGCCCAGGUUCAAUCCCUGGCCUGGGAACUUCUGCAUGCUGUGGGCACUGAUUUAAAAAAAAAAAAAGAGAGAGAGAGAGAAAAAAGCCAUACCUCCCAGGAUAUUGAGAGAGUAAAAAUGAGAAUCUGUGCACAUGUCACUUGGCACAGACUAAAAGCUCAGAGUCUUAUUAGCAUUUCUCUCACGAGAAAUAAUGAAAUUUAGUCUAUUAUCUGAGAAAUCAGUCAUACCACCUUUAUAUUACUGAAACUGAGAGAAAAAUAAACCUAAGCUACGUCUUCGAAUUCUAAGAUACGUGGUCUCUCCCGCUCCCAUCCCCCAGCCCCUGGGGCUUCUACCCCCUUCCCCCCAGGACCCAUCUCCACAGCCCAGCCAGCAUGGUCUGAGCUGGGGUCUCUCCCGUUCAGCCCUCUAACCCUGGCCUUGGCUGAGUGCAGGGCCAAUUUCCAGCCCCGAUCCCAGUAGCUCUCGAAACAUCCCUUGAUGCUUAUUUGAAGCUGCAUGCUCUGCUGCUCAACCCUCUUGGUCUUCUUCCUGUCCUAAGGCUGUGUACUGGAUCCCGAUCCUCUUCUCUCAGCGUCUACACACCUGCACCGGGGAGCCCGUCUUCACCUCUACAUCUAGGCUUGCCCUGUGUCCUGAGCUCCAUACCCACCAACUACCCCCGGGGUGUCUUCCAAGCUUCUCCACAUCCUGGCAAGCACCUCAGGUUUUACCAAGUUCUGAAACAGAAUUCACUCUCUCUCCCACUGCUAAAACCACCCACUUCUCCCCUAGUCAUUCCCCGCUGCUGCCCACACCAGAGACCCUCGGUGCUGCCUUUCUGUCUGCCCGCUUCAAGCCAGAAGUCCAGCUGCUUGGUGUUACAUGGGGCUGGUGUGUCUCGGUCACGGACUAGAGGUGACGUUAACUCUUCCUUUUUGCUUUACUGCCAUUUGGAAAGACUUCCUCCAGAAAUGACCGCCCAAAGAAUCUCUCCAAAUCCUGGUCGUUCAAGGUGCGGUUCCCAGACCUGCUGCAUUUCCAGGCGAUUCUUAGGAACCCUCCGUUUGAGAAGCCCUCCCUCGAUUCUCAUCCACCUCCUGAGAGAAGGCGUAGAGGCACCAGGCCAGACUGGAUGAUGGGCAGGGGCCAUGUCCUCAUCUCAGGAAAAUAAACACUGAAGGAAAAUAAGAUCUGAAAAUCG